CCAACAUGGCACGUCUCAGUCGCGGCGAGUGCAGCGGCAAAGCUCAAUUUGAAAUCUGGCGUCUUUGGCGUCCGAGUUGUAAUUUGAAGAACGUAUCUCUGGGCCCGGCUCUCGUCUAUGUUCCUUGGAACAGGACGUCACAGAGGGUGAGAAUCCCGUGCGAUGAGAUCACCCGGGACUGUGUAAAGUUCCUUCGACCAGUCCAGUUGUUUGGGAAUGCAACUUUGACUGUGUGGUAAAUUCCAUCUUAUGCUCAAUAUUGCCGAGUGACCGAUCGCGAACAAGUACAGUGAUGGAUAGAUGAAAAGAACUUUGAAAAGAGACCGAAAAAGUACGUGAAAUUGUUGAACGGGAAGGGCUUGAGAUCAGACUUGGUAUUUUGCAUGCUGCUCUCCGGGGGGCGGCCGCUCCGGUUUACCGGGCCAGCACCGGGUGGAGCGGCAGGAUAAUGGCCCAAGAAUGUGGCACGGCUUCUGCUGUGUGUUAUAGCCUCUGACGAACUGCCAGCCUAGACUGAGCACCGCCGUUUUUACCUACGAAGUUGGCAUAAUGAUCUUAAGUCGCCAGUCUUAAAAAAAAGAACCAAAAAGCCGAAAUCUUAAUACUUCACUCUUUGAUCCUUCGGGAGGAGGAGAUCCAAUUUUAUAUCAACAUCUGUUCUGAUUUUGGCAGACUGGUGGGGGGG
RNAcentral lists this ribosomal RNA (685 nucleotides) under Hanseniaspora opuntiae. RNAcentral describes it as "partial large subunit ribosomal RNA". The stretch from base 1 to 580 matches the Rfam family "Eukaryotic large subunit ribosomal RNA", at positions 65 to 664 of the family's 3401-position model. The record is from RNAcentral. Lineage: Eukaryota; Fungi; Ascomycota; Saccharomycetes; Saccharomycodales; Saccharomycodaceae.